GACGAACGCUGGCGGCGUGCUUAACACAUGCAAGUCGAACGGACUUCUGAUGAAACCUAGUGAUUCGGAAGUUAGUGGCGGACGGGUGAGUAACGCGUGGGAAACCUGCCCUGUACCGGGGGAUAACACUUAGAAAUAGGUGCUAAUACCGCAUAAGCGCACAGUAUCGCAUGAUACAGUGUGAAAAACUACCGGUGGUAUAAGAUGGACCCGCGUCUGAUUAGCUAGUUGGUGAGGUAACGGCCCACCAAGGCGACGAUCAGUAGCCGGCCUGAGAGGGUGAACGGCCACAUUGGGACUGAGACACGGCCCAAACUCCUACGGGAGGCAGCAGUGGGGAAUAUUGCACAAUGGGGGGAAACCCUGAUGCAGCGACGCCGCGUGAGUGAAGAAGUAUUUCGGUAUGUAAAGCUCUAUCAGCAGGGAAGAAAAUGACGGUACCUGACUAAGAAGCCCCCGGCUAACUACGUGCCAGCAGCCGCGGU
RNAcentral lists this ribosomal RNA (485 nucleotides) under uncultured bacterium. Its description in RNAcentral is "bacterial SSU rRNA". It matches the Rfam family "Bacterial small subunit ribosomal RNA", at positions 28 to 521 of the family's 1533-position model. The record is from RNAcentral.